Long non-coding RNA from Polypterus senegalus (gray bichir), 840 nucleotides. RefSeq lists it as uncharacterized. The record is from RefSeq and is a predicted model, not a curated record. The transcript is spliced from 3 exons. NCBI's taxonomy places the organism in Eukaryota, Metazoa, Chordata, Cladistia, Polypteriformes, Polypteridae.
ACUCACUCUUUUCACUGUCUAAGUCUGAUACUUCUUGAGAUAUUUAAAGUGUUUCUAGUUUGGAAUUAAUUGGCUAAGAAUUUAUGAUUGUUUCUCAACUUUAUUUUCUUGUCGACAUUUUGGGUUUAGAUGUUACUUAGACUUGAUUAUCUGGUGUUGGUAACACUCUUUUAUUGGCUGCUGACCCAUUUUCAAAAAUUUCCCCGUGCUCUGCUGUUUCUCAGCUCUUCAGGCUGGAGAAAUGCCCAGAAGGAGACUCAGGGUGCUGUUGCGCAAGCAUAAACCCUCAUGUGAAGACCUACUUGUGUAAAGACCUUGAAUCUACCUGUGCAAGUCCACCAAGCAAGGUCACAGGACAAGGAAACAGACACUCCUACUUAACUGAGGACUGGGAGAAACCCAGAAAAUAUUUGUCUGCUGUAUCAAGUCACCACUUCAAAUAAUCUCUUCUCCUUUGUCUUGUGGAACUGCCAGUCUGCAGUCAACAAAGCAGACUUUAUUCCAGUUUUCGCCACCCAAAGGAGUCUCCAAGUGGGGUCUCUGACAGAGACAUGGAUUCUACCAGAAACAAUUAUAGCACAGAAACAAUUUCCUCUGCUUUUAACUUCUUCCACUACUGCCACUCCAGGUGCAGGUAUUCUUACAUCUAAGAGCUAGAAAUUCACCCUUCUAGUUAAUGUAAGCAACUUUAUACCCUUCUAUUACUGUCAUCUUUCCAGUUAACAUGAUAAUUGUUGUUUAUCGCCCACAAGGUUUGCUCAGGAUCUUCCUUGAUGAGCUGGAUGGACUGAUCUCUUCCCUCCCAGAUGACCGCAGCACACUUCUAAUUCUCGGGGACCU